AAGACCUUGCACUUUUGGAGCGACCGAUGUCUGAUUAGCUAGUUGGUGGGGUAAUGGCCUACCAAAGCUUCGAUCAGUAGCUGGUCUGAGAGGACGGCCAGCCACACUGGGACUGAGACACGGCCCAGACUCCUACGGGAGGCAGCAGUGGGGAAUUUUGGACAAUGGGGGCAACCCUGAUCCAGCCAUGCCGCGUGAGUGAAGAAGGCCUUCGGGUUGUAAAGCUCUUUCAGCCGGAACGAAACGGUUACGGAUAACACCCGUGACUACUGACGGUACCGGAAGAAGAAGCACCGGCUAACUACGUGCCAGCAGCCGCGGUAAUACGUAGGGUGCGAGCGUUAAUCGGAAUUACUGGGCGUAAAGCGUGCGCAGGUGGUUUUGUAAGUCAGAUGUGAAAUCCCCGGGCUUAACCUGGGAACU
Molecule: ribosomal RNA, 423 nt
Filed under: uncultured bacterium
Lineage: Bacteria
Description: bacterial SSU rRNA
Rfam family: Bacterial small subunit ribosomal RNA
Source: RNAcentral